Molecule: long non-coding RNA, 410 nt
Organism: Arabidopsis lyrata subsp. lyrata
Lineage: Eukaryota; Viridiplantae; Streptophyta; Magnoliopsida; Brassicales; Brassicaceae
Exons: 2
Source: RefSeq, a predicted model, not a curated record
CCAAACUUAUCUUCAUUUAUCUUCAUUUCUGUCUCAUAUUUUCUCUCUCUGAAAACCCUUCUCUUAGUCUCAUCUUCUUCUCAUCGAAAACUUGUUAUUGCUCCAACGAAGUACAUGAUUCCCGUCGUUGUCACUAUUAAGUCGCCGACUCAAAGCGUCUUCCUCUCUAAUUUGAUCUAAAUUUCUUGCAGGAUGACUCCUACGGAGCUUCCUUCUUGUUUAUUUGCCGAGAGAGAAGAACAUGCCGAUGAUACGGAGCAGUUGGUGAUAGAACUAAACCAGAAUCCGACGAUGAAGAUGUGUUUCCUGUAAUUUCUUUGAGAUUAGAUAAAGUGUGAGAAUUGGAUGUAAGAGAUCUAGUAUGUUAGACCUCUAUGUGUUUAUAUAAAUGUCCAUUCAGUUUUUGUCAA